CCUACGGGCGGCAGCAGUGAGGCAUAUUGGUCAAUGGGCGCGAGCCUGCCCCAGCCAAGUAGCGUGAAGGAUGACUGCCCUACGGGUUGUAAACUUCUUUUAUAAAGGACUAACGUGAGGCUCGUGUGCCUUUUUGUAUGUCCUUUAUGAAUAAGGAUCGGCUACCUCCGUGCCAGCAGCCGCGGUAAUACGGAGGAUCCGAGCGUUAUCCGGAUUUAUUGGGUUUAAAGGGAGCGUAGAUGGGUUGUUAAGUCAGUUGGGAAAGUUUGCGUCUUAACCCUAAAAUUGCAAUUGAUACUGGCAGCCUUGAGUAAAGGAGAGGUAGGCGGAAUUCGUAGUGUAGCGGUGAAAUGCUUAGAUAUCACGAAGAACUCCAAUGGCGAAGGCAGCCUACUAAACAUCCACUGACAUUGAGGCGCGAAAGUGUGGGGAGCAAACAGGAUUAGAUACCCGAGUAGUC
Molecule: ribosomal RNA, 460 nt
Filed under: uncultured bacterium
Lineage: Bacteria
Description: partial 16S ribosomal RNA
Rfam family: Bacterial small subunit ribosomal RNA
Source: RNAcentral